Molecule: non-coding RNA, 111 nt
Organism: Acanthosepion pharaonis
Lineage: Eukaryota; Metazoa; Mollusca; Cephalopoda; Sepiida; Sepiidae
Source: the annotation of a GenBank genome assembly
AUGGCCAUAUCAUGUUGAAACACUGGUUCUCAUCUGAUUACAGAAAUUAAGCAAUGUUGAGUCUGGUCAGUAACUAGAUGGGUGACUGCUGGGGGAUACCAAGUGCUGUAA